Molecule: ribosomal RNA, 460 nt
Filed under: uncultured bacterium
Lineage: Bacteria
Description: partial 16S ribosomal RNA
Rfam family: Bacterial small subunit ribosomal RNA
Source: RNAcentral
CCUACGGGUGGCUGCAGUGAGGAAUAUUGGUCAAUGGACGAGAGUCUGAACCAGCCAAGUAGCGUGAAGGAUGACUGCCCUAUGGGUUGUAAACUUCUUUUAUCUGGGACUAAAAUGUUCCACGUGUGGGAUUUUGUAUGUCCCAUAUAAAUAAGAAUCGGCUAACUCCGUGCCAGCAGCCGCGGUAAUCCGGAGGAUCCGAGCGUUAUCCGGAUUGAUUGGGUUUAAAGGGAGCGUAGGUGGAUUGUUAAGUCAGUUGUGAAAGGUUGCGGCUAAACCGUAAAAGUGCAGUUGAAACUGGCAGUGUUGAGUACAGUAGAGGUGGGCGGAAUUCGUGGUGUAGCGGUGAAAUGCAUAGAUAGCACGAAGAACUCCGAUUGCGAAGGCAGUUCACUGGACUGCAACUGACACUGAGGCUCGAAAGUGUGGGUAUCAAACAGGAUUAGAUACCCUUGUAGUC